Molecule: long non-coding RNA, 210 nt
Organism: Capsicum annuum
Lineage: Eukaryota; Viridiplantae; Streptophyta; Magnoliopsida; Solanales; Solanaceae
Exons: 3
Source: RefSeq, a predicted model, not a curated record
CAUGACUAAAACUUUCAUUUUUAUUGGCCUUUUCAUCAGAUUCUAUACAAAAGCCGAUGCGAUAAUAGACUAAAUGAGAUCAGCGCAAGAACUUCUGCUGACAAAAAAGAGGAGAAAAAAAUGGAUCUGUAUAGGACAAUUGUCAAAAUGGUAAAACUGAUGCUAUCCAGGAUCGUGCUAAUCAGAUUCAGGCAGACCUCGAGGGGCUAG